AUGCAGGAAUGUCAGGCGUGUUUAAAAUGUGAAGAAGGAAUGGUGGCCAUGCCUUGUUCCACCGUCAGCGAUACCGUUUGUUCAGCAACCAGUGAAAACAAGCUUUCAGAGUCUUGGGCCGCAAACAUCAUUCUACCCUCUGCAAAGUCUGGCAUCUCUCAGGUCUACUCUGGCUUAAACUUGAAGAUAAAGGGAAAGCUUCCCUGUGAAAUCCUAUCAGUUGAAGAUAACAGCUUGGUAUUCAGGCAGCACGGUCUGUUGUGGACUGACCUAAAUUUUGCAGUAAAGCACAACUGCAGGAAUUUUUUGCAACUUUCCUUAAAGCUAAAUGGAAGUGAAGAAGGUUAUGAACUGAGCGGUGUUCGCAUUGAGCAACCAGAGGGAAAAUAUUUCCAGAGCACUAGUCUAAGUAGUGCUGCUGAAGUGGAGCCCAGCCAAACACUUUCUGUGUUUUUGAGGAGUCCAAAUCAAUUCUGCAAUCAAAGUAAAGACUUACAUAUUUAUGAUCUUAAUACCCCACUCAGUUUGUUUUGGUUGUCCCAUGACACAGGUGCUGUGGCAAUCAAUGCACAGAUGUCAACAGCAGUGCAUUACCAAACCAACUAUCGACCUACCUUUAAAAUAAUUUCUGUUUCCGACCCUUACAUGCUAAGUUUAUCUCAUGAUGGCAGAGCUAUAAAGUUCACUGAAACUGGUGUUGUCAAAUUUGUGUUCCAUCAAGCACUGUAUUCCAUGGGUCAUACGUGUGUCCGGGAGGGCUUCUCCUUAAUUUCUUACAUCAACAGGAAUGGUACUAACAGAGAAUUAAUGAAUGUUUUUAAAUCUGGGGUAAAUUACAGAGACACAUCAAUAUCUGCUUCUGGGGCCACAAAAGUUGGUGCUGGAGAUCUGAUUAGCUUUGAGAUACUUUCUCCUGCGCAGUGUAAUGUUCGAUAUUUUGGAGACAGUUCUGGGAUUAGUAUGUUUAGCCUCAUCUGGAUCCCUUCAGCAGUUUCUACUGCUAUAUCAGCCACAGUUUCUGUUACAGGUCUGCCUACUGGAGCUGUGAGAAACAAAUUACUGGAUUUCACCCAGGUCUCAUCCAGUGAGAAACAAAUACAGCUGGUUUCUUCUGGACAGCUUGCUCAGAAGUAUUUCAUUUUUACCGAAAAAGGAAUUGCCAGCAUUGCCUUUAACUUAAAGCUGAUCCACUCAUGCAGUGUGCUCAAAAUGACUCUCAAUCAGUUGACCAUGGAUCACAUGCAGCCCACAGCAAUUGCUCAGCAGAUUGGUGGUCAGAUGCCAGAGGGAAGCGUAUGGACCAGUGUAUCUCUCCGUGCCUCCUUUGAAGUCCAUAAUGGAACGCUGGUAUCAGUUUCUCUUGACUGCGUGCGUGGAAGGAUCAACCAGAUCACUCAGGAACAUGGAACCAGUGUAUCUAUUUUAUGGAUUUCGUCUUAA
This 1440-nucleotide long non-coding RNA is filed under the name Apteryx haastii (Great spotted kiwi). Its description in RNAcentral is "lncRNA (ENSAHAG00000004562.1)". The record is from RNAcentral. Lineage: Eukaryota; Metazoa; Chordata; Aves; Apterygiformes; Apterygidae.